CCUACGGGGGGCUGCAGUGGGGAAUUUUGGACAAUGGGGGCAACCCUGAUCCAGCCAUGCCGCGUGAGUGAAGAAGGCCUUCGGGUUGUAAAGCUCUUUCGGCCGGGAAGAAAUCGUGCGGGCCAAUACCCUGCAUGGAUGACGGUACCGGAAGAAGAAGCACCGGCUAACUACGUGCCAGCAGCCGCGGUAAUACGUAGGGUGCGAGCGUUAAUCGGAAUUACCGCAGGCGACGCGUGCGCAGGCGUGUGAAAUCCCCGGGCUUAACCUGGGAACUGCGUUUGUGACUGUGGUGCUUGAGUGCGGCAGAGGGGGGUGGAAUUCCACGUGUAGCAGUGAAAUGCGUAGAGAUGUGGAGGAACACCGAUGGCGAAGGCAGCCCCCUGGGUCGACACUGACGCUCAUGCACGAAAGCGUGGGGAGCAAACAGGAUUAGAUACCCCAGUAGUC
RNAcentral lists this ribosomal RNA (450 nucleotides) under uncultured bacterium. Its description in RNAcentral is "partial 16S ribosomal RNA". It matches the Rfam family "Bacterial small subunit ribosomal RNA", at positions 338 to 795 of the family's 1533-position model. The record is from RNAcentral.